AACGAACGCUGGCGGCGCGCUUAACACAUGCAAGUCGAACGAGAAGGCGUAGCAAUACGCUUGUAAAGUGGCAAACGGGUGAGUAAUGCAUGGAUCAUCUACCCUAGGGUGGGAAUAACUCCUCGAAAGGGGAGCUAAUGCCGACAUGUGCAACAUCUUCGCAAGCGGGUGUUGGAAAGCCGUUCCGAGGGAACGGCGCCCAAGGAUGAGUUCAUGUCCUAUCAGCUUGUUGGCGGGGUAACGGCCCACCAAGGCUACGACGGGUAGGCUGGUCUGAGAGGACGACCAGCCACACUGGCACUGCGACACGGGCCAGACUCCUACGGGAGGCAGCAGUGAGGAAUAUUGCGCAAUGGGCGAAAGACCUGACGCAGCGACGCCGCGUGGGGGAGUGAAGGGCC
RNAcentral lists this ribosomal RNA (401 nucleotides) under uncultured bacterium. Its description in RNAcentral is "bacterial SSU rRNA". It matches the Rfam family "Bacterial small subunit ribosomal RNA", at positions 29 to 417 of the family's 1533-position model. The record is from RNAcentral.